AUGUUGCUGUCGUCUUGACUUCCAUCAUCAGCAUCAUUUUCAGCGAGAUGUAAAUGGCGCAUGUAAUUCCAAUCAGUCCCAACAUCCUAAGGGUCUUGAGGGUACUCAGACUAACACGAGUGUUGAAGGUCAAGAUGACAAGAGUUUCAUAUCUAUGGGGAUAAUAUUCUUCCAUAUACACAUGUGUGCAACCAAGCACUCGAUCCCGAGUUCACAAACCCCGCAGUGAAUAAUAAAGAAGCCUUUGCAGAUAGCAAAAUCGAAACAAGCCAGAUAUGCAAGAUAUAAUUUCCUCAUCAGCGCCUCCUGCUGAUCGUUGCCUGGAACAUGCACCUCCACUACAGCUUCCCCAUCUUGUACGAUACACCGCAGAGAAAGGCAUCGAAGAAAUCACUUCUACAUGGGAAUCAGAGAAGAGGAAGUUGAAGUGGACUGGGAUAUCUGUGUGCACA
Stegastes partitus (bicolor damselfish) is the source of this 452-nucleotide long non-coding RNA. RefSeq lists it as uncharacterized. NCBI's taxonomy places the organism in Eukaryota, Metazoa, Chordata, Actinopteri, Pomacentridae. The transcript is spliced from 3 exons. The record is from RefSeq and is a predicted model, not a curated record.